Molecule: ribosomal RNA, 547 nt
Filed under: uncultured Glomeromycotina
Lineage: Eukaryota; Fungi; Glomeromycota
Description: SSU rRNA
Rfam family: Eukaryotic small subunit ribosomal RNA
Source: RNAcentral
UUGGAGGGCAAGUCUGGUGCCAGCAGCCGCGGUAAUUCCAGCUCCAAUAGCGUAUAUUAAAGUUGUUGCAGUUAAAAAGCUCGUAGUUGAAUUUUGGGAUCAGUACGUUGGUCGUGCCUUAGGUACGUACUGGUAUUACUGGUUCCUACCUUCUGACGAACCAUCAUGUCAUUAAUUUGGUGUGGCGGGGAAUCAGGACUGUUACUUUGAAAAAAUUAGAGUGUUUAAAGCAGGCUCGCGCUUGAAUACAUUAGCAUGGAAUAAUGAAAUAGGACGUUGAUCCUAUUUUGUUGGUUUCUAGGAUUGACGUAAUGAUUAAUAGGGAUAGUUGGGGCAUUAGUAUUUAAUUGUCAGAGGUGAAAUUCUUGGAUUUAUUGAAGACUAACUACUGCGAAAGCAUUUGCCAAGGAUGUUUUCAUUAAUCAAGAACGAAAGUUAGGGGAUCGAAGACGAUCAGAUACCGUCGUAGUCUUAACCAUAAACUAUGCCGACUAGGGAUCGGAUGAUGUUAAUUUUUUAAUGACUCAUUCGGCGCCUUACGGGAAAC